Molecule: ribosomal RNA, 499 nt
Filed under: uncultured bacterium
Lineage: Bacteria
Description: bacterial SSU rRNA
Rfam family: Bacterial small subunit ribosomal RNA
Source: RNAcentral
AGGACGAACGCUGGCGGCGCGCCUAACACAUGCAAGUCGAACGAAGCUAAGAUUGCGGAAGUUUCGGAUGGAAGUGAACUUAGCUUAGUGGCGAACGGGUGAGUAACACGUGAGUAACCUGCCCUUCAGUGGGGGACAACAGUUGGAAACGACUGCUAAUACCGCAUAAGACCACAGUGCCACAUGGCACAGUGAUCAAAGGAUUAAUUUUCGCUGAAGGAUGGACUCGCGUCUGAUUAGCUAGAUGGUGAGGUAACGGCCCACCAUGGCAACGAUCAGUAGCCGGACUGAGAGGUUGAUCGGCCACAUUGGGACUGAGACACGGCCCAGACUCCUACGGGAGGCAGCAGUGGGGGAUAUUGCACAAUGGAGGAAACUCUGAUGCAGCGACGCCGCGUGAGGGAAGAAGGUUUUCGGAUUGUAAACCUCUGUCUUCGGGGACGAAACAAAUGACGGUACUCGAGGAGGAAGCCACGGCUAACUACGUGCCAGCCGCCGC